This 410-nucleotide long non-coding RNA is filed under the name Triticum aestivum (bread wheat). Its description in RNAcentral is "long non-coding RNA (TAES_LNC016957)". The record is from RNAcentral. Lineage: Eukaryota; Viridiplantae; Streptophyta; Magnoliopsida; Poales; Poaceae.
ACUCUGAACCUCGAACUGGAUUCAGACUGAAACAACACAGCAUGAUUUACCAUCAACGAACGCAUCCUGUUUUAGUCCCCGUUAGGCAUCAAACUACGGUUUCAUGAAGAUUAGCACUGACAAAUCACAGGCAGUAACAACGAGAACCAGAUUGCGAGCGGCAAUCCAUCCCAACCAGAUCCACCACCCAACAUCGAUGACGCACCAAACCCAAACAUUCACAAGAAAACUAAUCUAAUCUAGAACUCCUGGGAAGCGGAGCCGAUGUCGCCCUUGCCCUUGCCGGCCUUCUUGGGGAGGAGCGUGCUGUGGAUGCUGGGCAGCACCCCGCCGGCGGCGAUGGUGACCGAGCCCAGCAGCUUGCUCAGCUCCUCGUCGUUGCGCACCGCCAGCUGGAUGUGGCGCGGCAC